CUGGUGAUGAGAUGGGGAAGUGGGCUCAGGAGGUCUGGAUCUGUGAUGAGAUGGGGAAAGUGGGCUCAGGAGGUCUGGAUCUGUGAUGAGAUGGGGGAAGUGGGCUCAGGAGGUCUGGAUCUGAGUUGGGGAUCUGGAGUGGAAGGGGAAUUCAUUUGUUCAUUGUCUAUCCUUUUGCAUUAAUUGAAUUUUUUUCUAUACAUACAUGUGAAUUUUCACAAUAAAAGUUUUUUCCAAAAUAAAAUAAAAGAAACAAAAGGGGCUUUUUGCAACCCAAUUCCUAUCUAUGUCUGAGUCCACUUGUAUUGAAUGAGUCUUUCUGCUAACGUCCUUAUAUUUGGGUGACUAUCUGAAUGUCAGUGACCAAUCAGAGCAGAGGCAGACCUUGGAGUGGGCAGGGCAUCCUGAGGGCCCUGAUUCCUGCCAUAAGGCAUAACCCUUUAGGUGCCAGACCAUGGGGAGGUCCAGGGGUUGCAGGGGAGGGCUGUGCAUCUGCAAUGGCUCUCAGGGGGCUCCCGGUGGUGGCAAUUGGUGAAUCUGCAUGGUGGUGUUUCAAUAUUGUCACAACCCUGCUGUCUCUCAUGCUCUCAAAAAGCAUUUCUCUUACCUGUGACAGACUUCCUAUACCUAACAGCUUGCAAAAAUGUUCCAGAUUAAUGAGAAUAAUCUCUCGGAGCCAUACCUCCCUGCUUGGGGUCUCAGUUUCCCCAAAUGUCUCCAGACAAGUUAGGCUAGAAGGCCCCUGAGUCUCAGCCCCUCUAUAGCCCUCCUGUCACCCAGACCUGAUCUGGGUCUUGCACCCUGGGUGCAGCAUGACAGGGGUGGGCAGGGGCUGGCUCUGGGCCAGAGGACCCUUUCUGAUGGACUUCAGCUGUUGGCCUUCCAGGGGAGACUGAUCAACCUCACAAGAGUCAUAUGGUGAGUAGCGGUGGGAGUACCAGGUUGAAACCAAGGACACCUUCCUGGAGGAGCUGCCGUUUGAGCCAGCUCUGAGAACAGGUGGAGACAGGACUGGAGAGGAGGAGGUUGUGCCCUAUGAGCAAAGACUGGCCACCACCCCAUCUAACACCCCCACAGGGCCCCUGUGGCAUCCCUGUCCAGUCCCUGUCACCACCCAGUUUUUCCCUCUGGACCCAGGAAUUCAAAGUAAGCAAGGAGGUCCGCUGCUCCAGUUGGCUGCAAAUAAUUACAACCUUGAGCCCAAGCAGCACUUUGGGUCCUGGUUUGGGACCAUGAAGCGGCUCGGUGAGACUGAGAGGUAAGGCCAGGGCAGGAAUUGGGAUAGUAGGAUUGAACUCUCCCUGGGGGCCAGCCUCAGAAAGCCUGUGGCCAUGGCCUCUUGGCCAACAUCAGAUCCUGUGGUCUGGCAAUGCCUGGGGUACCCAGACCUCACUCUGGACAGGCCCUGGGAGGGGGCCCUGGUGAGAUUCCUGGCAGCCUCACAGCCACUCU
This 1452-nucleotide long non-coding RNA is filed under the name Homo sapiens (human). RNAcentral describes it as "HSALNT0275706". The record is from RNAcentral. Lineage: Eukaryota; Metazoa; Chordata; Mammalia; Primates; Hominidae.